GCUACCAUCCUCAGUGUUUUAUAUGCCUGAUAAAACUAAAAAUAUUAAUUAUGAUUAUAAAGGCUAUCUACUCUGUAUUGAAUUUGUUCAAAAUGAGUUAGACCCUUGUUGAGAGAUUUAUCAUGCCCCUAAGAUCAAGACAUUUAUUCAGAAAGAUUCACUCUUCCGAAGUAAUAUUGCAUUAGAGGCAUGGGCUAUGCAAAAAUAAAGAUAUUUCGAGGAAAUAAAAAGGAGCAAGUGCUCGAUAACCUCGCAGAAAAAUGGACGAGUGUCCGGCAGUAGAAUUAGGGGUACCUCGGUAUCCACUUAAAAAAAGAAGAAAAAGAAUGAUAGCCCAUGGUCCCUCUAAUAAGCAAUAUGCCAGCAAGAGUUGACAAAGAUUUUAAUUUCCAAAGUCU
RNAcentral lists this long non-coding RNA (398 nucleotides) under Sorghum bicolor (sorghum). RNAcentral describes it as "long non-coding RNA (SBIC_LNC014035)". Lineage: Eukaryota; Viridiplantae; Streptophyta; Magnoliopsida; Poales; Poaceae. The record is from RNAcentral.